This 467-nucleotide ribosomal RNA is filed under the name uncultured bacterium. RNAcentral describes it as "partial 16S ribosomal RNA". It matches the Rfam family "Bacterial small subunit ribosomal RNA", at positions 28 to 507 of the family's 1533-position model. The record is from RNAcentral.
GACGAACGCUGGCGGCGUGCUUAACACAUGCAAGUCGAACGGAAAGGCCUCUUUCGGGGGGUACUCGAGUGGCGAACGGGUGAGUAACACGUGAGUAACCUGCCCUUGACUUUGGGAUAACUUCAGGAAACUGGGGCUAAUACCGGAUAGGAGCUCCUGCUGCAUGGUGGGGGUUGGAAAGUUUCGGCGGUUGGGGAUGGACUCGCGGUUUAUCAGCUUGUUGGUGGGGUAGUGGCUUACCAAGGCUUUGACGGGUAGCCGGCCUGAGAGGGUGACCGGCCACAUUGGGACUGAGAUACGGCCCAGACUCCUACGGGAGGCAGCAGUGGGGAAUAUUGCACAAUGGGUGGAAGCCUGAUGCAGCAACGCCGUGUGCGGGAUGACGGCCUUCGGGUUGUAAACCGCUUUCGCUCAUGACGAAGCUUUGUGUGACGGUAGUGGGUAAAGAAGCACCGGCUAACUACGUG